GUGCGGCAACGGCUUCCUGAAGCGGCACUAAACACAUCGGAGCA
Molecule: non-coding RNA, 44 nt
Filed under: unclassified sequences
Source: RNAcentral